GACGAACGCUGGCGGCGUGCUUAACACAUGCAAGUCGAACGGAAAGGCCCUGCUUUUGUGGGGUGCUCGAGUGGCGAACGGGUGAGUAACACGUGAGUAACCUGCCCUUGACUUUGGGAUAACUUCAGGAAACUGGGGCUAAUACCGGAUAGGAGCUCCUGCUGCAUGGUGGGGGUUGGAAAGUUUCGGCGGUUGGGGAUGGACUCGCGGCUUAUCAGCUUGUUGGUGGGGUAGUGGCUUACCAAGGCUUUGACGGGUAGCCGGCCUGAGAGGGUGACCGGCCACAUUGGGACUGAGAUACGGCCCAGACUCCUACGGGAGGCAGCAGUGGGGAAUAUUGCACAAUGGGCCGAAGCCUGAUGCAGCAACGCCGCGUGCGGGAUGACGGCCUUCGGGUUGUAAACCGAUUUCGCCUGUGACGAAGCGUGAGUGACGGUAAUGGGUAAAGAAGCAACGGCUAACUACGUG
This 468-nucleotide ribosomal RNA is filed under the name uncultured bacterium. RNAcentral's name for it is "partial 16S ribosomal RNA". It matches the Rfam family "Bacterial small subunit ribosomal RNA", at positions 28 to 507 of the family's 1533-position model. The record is from RNAcentral.